RNAcentral lists this unclassified non-coding RNA (212 nucleotides) under plant metagenome. RNAcentral's name for it is "partial contains small subunit ribosomal RNA, internal transcribed spacer 1, and 5.8S ribosomal RNA". The record is from RNAcentral.
GUUUCCGCAGGUGAACCUGCGGAAGGAUCAUUCAUAAUAAAGAGUUUUAUGGCACUUUUUAAAAAUCCAUAUCCACCUUGUGUGCAAUGUUAGAUCUCGUCAAUCUUGGCGAGAUUUUUAUACAUCAACUCAUUCUUUAACUAAUUUGUCUGAAAAAUAUUAUGAAUACUUAAUUCAAAAUACAACUUUCAACAACGGAUCUCUUGGCUCUC